Molecule: ribosomal RNA, 764 nt
Filed under: Vibrio sp.
Lineage: Bacteria; Pseudomonadati; Pseudomonadota; Gammaproteobacteria; Vibrionales; Vibrionaceae
Description: bacterial SSU rRNA
Rfam family: Bacterial small subunit ribosomal RNA
Source: RNAcentral
AGCCUGAUGCAGCCAUGCCGCGUGUGUGAAGAAGGCCUUCGGGUUGUAAAGCACUUUCAGUCGUGAGGAAGGUAGUGUAGUUAAUAGCUGCUUUAUUUGACGUUAGCGACAGAAGAAGCACCGGCUAACUCCGUGCCAGCAGCCGCGGUGAUACGGAGGGUGCGAGCGUUAAUCGGAAUUACUGGGCGUAAAGCGCAUGCAAGUGGUUUGUUAAUUCGGAUGUGACAGCCCGGGGCUCGACCUCCGAAUAGCACUUGAAACUGGAAGACUAGAGUACUGUAGAGGGGGGUAGAAUUUCAUGUGUAGCGGUGAACUGCGUAGAGAUCUGAAUGAAUACCGGUGGCGAAGGCGGCCCCCUUGCACAGAUACGCGAGACUCAGAUGCGAAGUGUGGGGCAGCAAACUGAGAUAAGACACCGCUGGUAGUCCACGCCAUAUACGAUAUGGACCUGGUACGUCGUGGGCAUGAUCCGUGGCUGUCGAAGCUAACGUCGUGUACUACACGUCGUGGCGAGUAAAGUCACAUGAUCAGACGUCAGAUGGAGGUCGACCGGGCGACUCGCAUAGACGUUGGAUCAUGUGGACUGUACUCCACUGCGAACGUCUACAUACUGAGCUACUCUCGACAUGCACAGGACUUGGCCGAAAUCGUCUGGUGCCUCCGGUAACUCGGAGGCACGUCUGGAUGCUUAUCUCGCUUGCUGCUUGUGCAUUGUCAGCUAUGCAGUAUCUAGUUCAGGCCGGUCGAGCCUUGUCUGGCGGCAG